AUGUACUCUCUUCGACAACAUAUAUACAAAAAUUGGAAUGGUACAGAGAUGAUUAACAUGGCCCCUGUGCAAGGAUGACACGCAAAUUUGCAUUCCAUAUUUUU
Hyla sarda is the source of this 104-nucleotide small nuclear RNA. NCBI's taxonomy places the organism in Eukaryota, Metazoa, Chordata, Amphibia, Anura, Hylidae. The record is from RefSeq and is a predicted model, not a curated record.